CCGCGGUAAUACGUAGGCAGCAAGCGUUGUUCGGAGUUACUGGGCGUAAAGGGUGCGUAGGCUGUUCCGCAAGUAUCGUGUGAAAUCUCCCGGCUUAACUGGGAGGGUGCGCGAUAAACUGCGGGACUAGAGUGUGGGAGAGGAAAGUGGAAUUCCUGGUGUAGCGGUGAAAUGCGUAGAUAUCAGGAGGAACACCGGUGGUGUAAACGGCUUUCUGGACCAUAACUGACGCUGAGGCACGAAAGCGUGGGUAGCAAACAGGAUUAGAUACCCUGGUAGUCCACGCCCUAAACGAUGCAUAUUUGGUGUGGGUCAUUCAGUUGAUCCGUGCCGGAGCUAACGCGUUAAAUAUGCCGCCUGGGGAGUACAGUCGCAAGGCUGAAACUCAAAGGAAUUGACGGGGGCCCGCACAAGCGGUGGAGCAUGUGGUUUAAUUCGACGCAACGCGAAGAACCUUACCUGGGCUCGAAAUGCUGUGGACCAGCCGGUGAAAGCCGGCCUUCCCGCAAGGGACUGCAGUAUAGGUGCUGCAUGGCUGUCGUCAGCUCGUGUCGUGAGAUGUUGGGUUAAGUCCCGCAACGAGCGCAACCCUUGUCCUGUGUUGCC
This 606-nucleotide ribosomal RNA is filed under the name uncultured bacterium. RNAcentral describes it as "bacterial SSU rRNA". It matches the Rfam family "Bacterial small subunit ribosomal RNA", at positions 515 to 1119 of the family's 1533-position model. The record is from RNAcentral.